This 87-nucleotide transfer RNA is filed under the name Candidatus Nomurabacteria bacterium. RNAcentral describes it as "tRNA-Ser". It matches the Rfam family "tRNA". Rfam says of the family: Transfer RNA (tRNA) molecules are approximately 80 nucleotides in length. Their secondary structure includes four short double-helical elements and three loops (D, anti-codon, and T loops). Further hydrogen bonds mediate the characteristic L-shaped molecular structure. tRNAs have two regions of fundamental functional importance: the anti-codon, which is responsible for specific mRNA codon recognition, and the 3' end, to which the tRNAs corresponding amino acid is attached (by aminoacyl-tRNA synthetases). tRNAs cope with the degeneracy of the genetic code in two manners: having more than one tRNA (with a specific anti-codon) for a particular amino acid; and 'wobble' base-pairing, i.e. permitting non-standard base-pairing at the 3rd anti-codon position. Lineage: Bacteria; Candidatus Nomuraibacteriota. RNAcentral also lists the same sequence under 1 other name. The record is from RNAcentral.
GGAGGCGUGGCUGAGUGGUUGAAGGCAACAGUCUUGAAAACUGUCGUAUGGGAAACUGUACCGUGAGUUCGAAUCUCACCGCCUCCG